CCGAGCGCCCCUCGAACACGACCCCAGGUCAGGCGGGGCCACCCGC
Molecule: ribosomal RNA, 46 nt
Filed under: Peliosanthes macrostegia
Lineage: Eukaryota; Viridiplantae; Streptophyta; Magnoliopsida; Asparagales; Asparagaceae
Description: partial 26S ribosomal RNA
Source: RNAcentral